UACAAAUCAUAAACCACACUCCCAUUUUCUAAAAAAAAAAACGUAUUUUUCAAUAGACACUACACACCUAUUCCUGUGCUUAACAGAAGUUGAAAAAAAAAAAUUCAGCAGAAAUUCAGCAUUUUACACAAUGUGUUUGGUGGAAAGCAGAAUCACCACUGAUCUAUAUAUAACAUAUAUUUAUAUAUAUAGAUCAGUGAGAAUCACUCAAAACCAUCACGAUGUCAUCACAACAUGAACACGACUUCACCAUGUAAAUACUAUACAUGUUCAGACUGCAGGCAAAAUCGGAUUUUUUCAGGAAGACUAUCCGCGCUAUUAAUUGCAAGUGAUCAAAUCAGAAUUGUCCGUUCAGGCAUAACCAACAUAUCUGCAUGGGUUGCUUUGGUAACGACGUAGGUGUAUUAUUUAUUUUUAUUUUUAUUUUUUUUAACGACGUAGGUGUACCCCACGUGACGAUGCUAUGGAGGUGCAUCAUCUCGCUCUCCAGAUAAGCGCCCUGUCCAGUCACGGUGCAGAACUCAUCCGUCGUACUCGCACAAGAAAAACUCAGCGGAGGAGACAGGGCGGAGGGUGGGGCAAGGUGUGCAGCAUCACGUCCACCCCAACAGAGCAGCUGUGGCCAUCCGCCAGAUGAUAGAGGAUGUGGCGGGGCGUUCCGCCUGCCAGGGUCCGGAGGACUGCCUCCAAUCUGCCCGGGGAGGCACAGCUGUUGUCCACUAGAGGGUGGAGGAGUGGCAGAGGACCAAGCUACGGCAUAUCAGAGAACCGAUCCAGAAAGGUACCCCGGCCUGAAAGAACCUGGG
Molecule: long non-coding RNA, 806 nt
Organism: Xyrauchen texanus (razorback sucker)
Lineage: Eukaryota; Metazoa; Chordata; Actinopteri; Cypriniformes; Catostomidae
Exons: 3
Source: RefSeq, a predicted model, not a curated record